RNAcentral lists this small nuclear RNA (26 nucleotides) under Arabidopsis thaliana (thale cress). RNAcentral's name for it is "snRNA_16499". The record is from RNAcentral. Lineage: Eukaryota; Viridiplantae; Streptophyta; Magnoliopsida; Brassicales; Brassicaceae.
AUCAUACCAGCACUAAUGCACCGGAU